GCCAAUGUGACAUAGUGGUUUGAGUGUUGGACUAUGACUCUGGAGAUCAGGGUUCAAUUCCCAGCUCAGCCA
RNAcentral lists this transfer RNA (72 nucleotides) under Phrynosoma platyrhinos (Desert horned lizard). RNAcentral's name for it is "tRNA-OTHER". Lineage: Eukaryota; Metazoa; Chordata; Lepidosauria; Squamata; Phrynosomatidae. The record is from RNAcentral.